This 590-nucleotide ribosomal RNA is filed under the name uncultured marine eukaryote. Its description in RNAcentral is "SSU rRNA". It matches the Rfam family "Eukaryotic small subunit ribosomal RNA", at positions 1 to 598 of the family's 1831-position model. The record is from RNAcentral.
AACCUGGUUGAUCCUGCCAGUAGUCAUAUGCUUGUCUCAAAGAUUAAGCCAUGCAUGUCUAAGUAUAAGUUUUUUACUGCGAAACUGUGAAUGGCUCAUUAUAACAGUUAUUAUUUCCUAGACGGUCAGUGAUUCAUUGGAUACCCAUGGUAAUUCUAGAGCUAAUACAUGCUUACAAACCCAACUUUUCGGAAGGGUUGCGCUUAUUAGAUACCGAACCAGCCUAGGCUCUGCCUAGAUUUUGUUGAUUCAUAGUGUUCUGGCGAAUCGCCUUUUACAGGCGAUGAGUCUAUCAAGUUUCUGACCUAUCAGCUUCCGACGGUAGGAUAUAGGCCUACCGUGGCUUUGACGGGUAACGGAGAAUUAGGGUUCGAUUCCGGAGAGGGAGCCUGAGAAACGGCUACCACAUCUAAGGAAGGCAGCAGGCGCGUAAAUUACCCAAUCCUGACACAGGGAGGUAGUGACAAGAAAUAUCAAUAUAAGACGUUUGUGUCUUGUAAUUGGGAUGAGCGAAACAUAAACCGCUUCUCGAGUAUCAAUUGGAGGGCAAGUCUGGUGCCAGCAGCCGCGGUAAUUCCAGCUCCAAUAGC